CCUAACACAUGCAAGUCGAACGCCGUAGCAAUACGGAGUGGCAGACGGGUGAGUAACACGUGGGAACGUACCUUUCGGUUUCGGGAAUAACUACAGGGAACUUGAGCUAAUACCGGAUACGUGCGAGAGCAGAAAGAUUUAUCGCCGAAAGAUCGGCCCGCGUCCGAUUAGCUUGUUGGUGAGGUAAUGGCUCACCAAGGCGACGAUCGGUAGCUGGUCUGAGAGGAUGAUCAGCCACACUGGGACUGAGACACGGCCCAGACUCCUACGGGAGGCAGCAGUGGGGAAUAUUGGACAAUGGGCGAAAGCCUGAUCCAGCCAUGCCGCGUGAGUGAUGAAGGCCUUAGGGUUGUAAAGCUCUUUUGUCCGGGAAGAUAAUGACGGUACCGGAAGAAUAAGCCCCGGCUAACUUCGUG
RNAcentral lists this ribosomal RNA (416 nucleotides) under uncultured bacterium. RNAcentral describes it as "bacterial SSU rRNA". It matches the Rfam family "Bacterial small subunit ribosomal RNA", at positions 47 to 507 of the family's 1533-position model. The record is from RNAcentral.